Pilaira anomala is the source of this 74-nucleotide non-coding RNA. The record is from the annotation of a GenBank genome assembly. Lineage: Eukaryota; Fungi; Mucoromycota; Mucoromycetes; Mucorales; Mucoraceae.
UGUUACGUAGCCGAACUGGUAGAGCGUUUGACUUACACACAAAAUGUCAACGGUUCGAUUCUGGCUUUUGUCAU